UACGUAGGGGGCAAGCGUUGUCCGGAUUUACUGGGCGUAAAGAGCGCGUAGGUGGGGAAGCAAGUCCGGUGUGAAAGCCCCCGGCUCAACCGGGGAAGGUCGCUGGAAACUGCUUUUCUUGAGGUGGACAGAGGGAAGUGGAAUUCCUGGUGUAGCGGUGAAAUGCGUAGAUAUCAGGAGGAACACCCAUGGCGAAGGCAGCUUCCUGGGUCCAAACUGACGCUGAGGCGCGAAAGCGUGGGGAGCGAACGGG
RNAcentral lists this ribosomal RNA (253 nucleotides) under uncultured bacterium. RNAcentral describes it as "partial 16S ribosomal RNA". It matches the Rfam family "Bacterial small subunit ribosomal RNA", at positions 524 to 776 of the family's 1533-position model. The record is from RNAcentral.